Solanum dulcamara is the source of this 733-nucleotide long non-coding RNA. RefSeq lists it as uncharacterized. The transcript has 3 exons. NCBI's taxonomy places the organism in Eukaryota, Viridiplantae, Streptophyta, Magnoliopsida, Solanales, Solanaceae. The record is from RefSeq and is a predicted model, not a curated record.
UAUUCAUGUGACACAUGGCCACACUUUCCAUUAUUCUUAUCCUAUUAGAAUAGGGAAGAACCAAGAAGUUUGUUUUGUAAUCAGGAACGAUUCGACUGGAACAAAGAAAAAUAAAUACGUACCCAAUUUCAAACUCUUGUAUCUUUUCAAGUCCUAAGAGCAUAAGGAGUUAGAGCCAUUCUAGGAGGACUCCUACCACCGCCCCUUAGCAUCUGGUUAGCAUCUAUAAAUAGAUGCUCGUUGUUUAUAUUUCAUUAUCAACAUUAGCAAUUGCAAGCUUCUUUUUGCAGAUCCUUUGGAGCUUCCACGAGAAGGCAUCAAUGUUCGGAAGACGACGAGACGAGCAGGAUAAAGGGUAACUCCCAAAAGGUACAAAUACAGAUUUUGGGAGUCCGUCAACUUAGGAUUCCAUGUAGAUCAGUUGAAAGAGGCUCCAUUAUAUCGGGGCCUAGUUUUUGAUACUGUCCACUGAUAUAUAAAAAUUGUUUUGUCCAUUCAGGGGUACAGCGGGGGCCCUGUCCCGCCAUAUGUUGUCAUUAUUAUGUUUAGAGGUCUGCAGACAUGUAUAUGUGGGUUGUGUAUGUCAGUUUGAUUCAGCUGGGUCUACAUGAUAUAUGAUGUAUAUUACUAUAUUAUGGCAGCCUUAUCGGCUUGCGUGCCCUGUCAUGUUGUGAUACAAACAAAAAGGGCUACAGUUUAUGAAAAUGUUAUCGCCCAGUGGGGAUCUGUUACA